UCAUAUGAGGUUGUUGCGGACCUUGCUAUUAUUGACUGGUGGUUUCUUCUGUGCGGCCAACGGUCAUUAUGGCAGUCUUUUUCAGUGGCAUCGCUCCUGAUACAAUUUUGGAGAUCGAUUAUGACUCUAUAUUAGUUGCUUGCGCCGGGAAUCCUUAUGUGGGUGGUACUAAUUUACGUGGAUGCCUCGUGGAUAAGCCUCGAUGCCUGAAUCUCAGGCAUGGAGAUUGCCCCAUGGAAUGAGACCCUUCCACCCUCUGCGUCGGGCAAUGUCUCACGAUAUUCUCGUUUCGUGGGGGUGGAAUGAGCGUCUCCAUAUAUUGUUGCAAAUGUGGCUCUUCGAAAGUGGGUCUUGGUGUCAUGGCACCUUGCUCAAGUUGGUUUAUUCAAGUGAUAGUGCCUUUAACCUCUGUGCGACUUUGGUUCUUUCCCCUCCCACCAUAUGAAAUGUAUGGUUGUGGUAGGCUGAGGCCAUGGUUGUGUUGAGGACGUGCUACCUGGUUGAUCCUGCCAGUAGUCAUAUGGCUUGUCU
This 531-nucleotide unclassified non-coding RNA is filed under the name Galeandra blanchetii. RNAcentral describes it as "partial contains external transcribed spacer and 18S ribosomal RNA". Lineage: Eukaryota; Viridiplantae; Streptophyta; Magnoliopsida; Asparagales; Orchidaceae. The record is from RNAcentral.